This 73-nucleotide transfer RNA is filed under the name Amycolatopsis cynarae. RNAcentral describes it as "Amycolatopsis sp. HUAS 11-8 tRNA-Gln". It matches the Rfam family "tRNA". From Rfam's summary of the family: Transfer RNA (tRNA) molecules are approximately 80 nucleotides in length. Their secondary structure includes four short double-helical elements and three loops (D, anti-codon, and T loops). Lineage: Bacteria; Bacillati; Actinomycetota; Actinomycetes; Pseudonocardiales; Pseudonocardiaceae. The record is from RNAcentral.
UCCCGGUUGGUGUAGUCCGGCAGCACAGCGGACUUUGGAUCCGCACGCCCAGGUUCGAGUCCUGGACCGGGAG